Long non-coding RNA from Malania oleifera, 591 nucleotides. RefSeq lists it as uncharacterized. The transcript is spliced from 3 exons. NCBI's taxonomy places the organism in Eukaryota, Viridiplantae, Streptophyta, Magnoliopsida, Santalales, Ximeniaceae. The record is from RefSeq and is a predicted model, not a curated record.
GUAAAUUUCUGGUACAAGGCACCUGAACUCCUCUUCAGCUUGCUGCAGUACUCCCCUUCAGCUGAUGUGUGGUCUGUGGGUUGUAUAUUUGCUGAGAUGGUGAAUCAGCAGUCAUUGUUUGCAGGUCCAACAGAGUUUCAUCAGUUGGUUGUACCUUAGAACCACAUACUUUUAGUGCACAUGUUAACCUCCCCUAGCGUGCUACUCCAUUUUCAUUUCAUUUCUGUAAUGAAGCAUUAUGGGUACCCUAAAUGAAGAGACCUGGCCUGGAGUGACUUUACUAUGCGACUAUCUACAUUUUUUCUGAAGGGGGAGCCUAAGGACCUGGCGAAAGUAGUCCCGAGUCUUGAGCCAGCUGGAGUGGAUCUUCUCACCAGAAUGCUCUGCACGAAUCCAAAGGCAAGAAUUACAGCUAGUGAGGCACUCAAGCAUGCAUAGUUUAAAGAUGCUUGGUCUGUUCCAUGAUUUCUCCCAUCUGCCAUCUUGUUCUCUGUCAUAUAGAGAAGGAUAUAUUGACUUUGAGUUUUGAUUUUACCACAAAAAUGUGCUUCAUUUUAUACAAUUUACCUUGUGGGUGCAAAGUAAUAUUUG